This 495-nucleotide ribosomal RNA is filed under the name uncultured bacterium. Its description in RNAcentral is "partial 16S ribosomal RNA". It matches the Rfam family "Bacterial small subunit ribosomal RNA", at positions 28 to 507 of the family's 1533-position model. The record is from RNAcentral.
GACGAACGCUGGCGGCGUGCCUAAUACAUGCAAGUAGAACGCUGAAGGAGGAGCUUGCUUCUCUGGAUGAGUUGCGAACGGGUGAGUAACGCGUAGGUAACCUGCCUGGUAGCGGGGGAUAACUAUUGGAAACGAUAGCUAAUACCGCAUAAUAGUAGAUGUUGCAUGACAUUUGCUUAAAAGGUGCAACUGCAUCACUACCAGAUGGACCUGCGUUGUAUUAGCUAGUUGGUGAGGUAACGGCUCACCAAGGCAACGAUACAUAGCCGACCUGAGAGGGUGAUCGGCCACACUGGGACUGAGACACGGCCCAGACUCCUACGGGAGGCAGCAGUAGGGAAUCUUCGGCAAUGGACGGAAGUCUGACCGAGCAACGCCGAGUGAGUGAAGAAGGUUUUCGGAUCGUAAAGCUCUGUUGUAAGAGAAGAACGAGUGUGAGAGUGGAAAGUUCACACUGUGACGGUAUCUUACCAGAAAGGGACGGCUAACUACGUG